Molecule: ribosomal RNA, 485 nt
Filed under: uncultured bacterium
Lineage: Bacteria
Description: partial 16S ribosomal RNA
Rfam family: Bacterial small subunit ribosomal RNA
Source: RNAcentral
AGUGAACGCUGACGGCGUGCUUAACACAUGCAAGUCGAACGAGAACGGAAUAUAGCUUGCUAUAUUUGUCAGCUAAGUGGCGCACGGGUGAGUAAUGUAUAGAUAACCUGCCCUUAAGAAAGGAAUAACAGUUGGAAACGACUGCUAAUGCCCUAUAUGCCUUUAAUACAUAAGUAUGCAAGGGAAACGCUUUAGUGCUUAAGGAUGGGUCUGUAUGGUAUCAGCUUGUUGGUGAGGUAAUGGCUCACCAAGGCUAUGACGCCUAACUGGUUUGAGAGGAUGAUCAGUCACACUGGAACUGAGACACAGCCCAGACUCCUACGGGAGGCAGCAGUGGGGAAUAUUGCACAAUGGACGAAAGUCUGAUGCAGCAACGCCGCGUGGAGGAUGACACAUUUCGGUGCGUAAACUCCUUUUAUAUAGGAAGAUAAUGACGGUACUAUAUGAAUAAGCACCGGCUAACUCCGUGCCAGCCGCCGCAGUAA